CUGCUGCCUCCCGUAGGAGUCUGGUCCGUGUCUCAGUACCAGUGUGGGGGACCUUCCUCUCAGAACCCCUAGACAUCGUCGCCUUGGUGGGCCGUUACCCCGCCAACAAGCUAAUGGAACGCAUCCCCAUCGAUGACCGAAAUUCUUUAAUAGUUCUACCAUGCGGAAGAACUAUGCCAUCGGGUAUUAAUCUUUCUUUCGAAAGGCUAUCCCCGAGUCAUCGGCAGGGUGGAUACGUGUUACUCACCCGUGCGCCGGUCGCCA
RNAcentral lists this ribosomal RNA (264 nucleotides) under uncultured bacterium. RNAcentral's name for it is "partial 16S ribosomal RNA". The record is from RNAcentral.